CAGUCGAACGAAACUUCUUUAUCACCGAGUGCUUGCACUCACCGAUACAGAGUUGAGUGGCGAACGGGUGAGUAACACGUGGGCAACCUGCCCAAAAGAGGGGGAUAACACUUGGAAACAGGUGCUAAUACCGCAUAACCAUAGUUACCGCAUGGUAACUAUGUAAAAGGUGGCUAUACUACCGCUUUUGGAUGGGCCCGCGGCGCAUUAGCUAGUUGGUAGGGUAAAGGCUUACCAAGGCAAUGAUGCGUAGCCGAAUUGAGAGGUUGAUCGACCACAUUGGGACUGAGACACGGCCCAAACUCCUACGGGAGGCAGCAGUAGGGAAUCUUCCACAAUGGGCGAAAGCCUGAUGGAGCAACGCCGCGUGGGUGAGGAAGGUCUUCGGAUCGUAAAACCCUGUUGUUAGAGAAGAAAGUGCGUGAGAGUAACUGUUCACGUUUCGACGGUAUCUAACCAGAAAGCCACGGCUAACUAUGUGCCAGCAGCCGCGGUAAUACGUAGGUGGCAAGCGUUAUCCGGAUUUAUUGGGCGUAAAGGGAACGCAGGCGGUCUUUUAAGUCUGAUGUGAAAGCCUUCGGCUUAACCGGAGUAGUGCAUUGGAAACUGGGAGACUUGAGUGCAGAAGAGGAGAGUGGAACUCCAUGUGUAGCGGUGAAAUACGUAGAUAUAUGGAAGAACACCAGUGGCGAAAGCGGCUCUCUGGUCUGUAACUGACGCUGAGGUUCGAAAGCGUGGGUAGCAAACAGGAUUAGAUACCCUGGUAGUCCACGCCGUACACGAUGAAUGCUAAGUGUUGGAGGGUUUCCGCCCUUCAGUGCUGC
This 824-nucleotide ribosomal RNA is filed under the name uncultured bacterium. RNAcentral describes it as "bacterial SSU rRNA". It matches the Rfam family "Bacterial small subunit ribosomal RNA", at positions 59 to 849 of the family's 1533-position model. The record is from RNAcentral.